CGGAUUGAAGGCUGAAAUUCGCCUUCAUGAAGCUGGAAUUGCUGUAAUGGCAGGUCAGCAUACUGCCGUGAAUACGUUCCCGGGCCUUGUACACACCGCCCGUCACACCAUGAGAGUUGGGAAUACCCGAAGCCUGUGAGCUAACUGUAAGGAGGCGGCAGUCGAAGGUAGAAUCAAUGAUUGGGGUGAAGUCGUAACAAGGUACC
This 206-nucleotide ribosomal RNA is filed under the name uncultured bacterium. RNAcentral describes it as "partial 16S ribosomal RNA". It matches the Rfam family "Bacterial small subunit ribosomal RNA", at positions 1294 to 1500 of the family's 1533-position model. The record is from RNAcentral.